GCACCUGUAGCUCAGAUUGGUCAGAGCACGAGUUUGAAAAACUCGGGGUCGCUGGUUCGAGACCAGCUGGGUGCACCA
Molecule: transfer RNA, 78 nt
Filed under: Erwinia phage pEa_SNUABM_8
Lineage: Duplodnaviria; Heunggongvirae; Uroviricota; Caudoviricetes; Chimalliviridae
Also listed under: 1 other name
Description: tRNA-Phe
Rfam family: tRNA
About the family: Transfer RNA (tRNA) molecules are approximately 80 nucleotides in length. Their secondary structure includes four short double-helical elements and three loops (D, anti-codon, and T loops).
Source: RNAcentral